This 467-nucleotide ribosomal RNA is filed under the name uncultured bacterium. RNAcentral describes it as "partial 16S ribosomal RNA". It matches the Rfam family "Bacterial small subunit ribosomal RNA", at positions 28 to 507 of the family's 1533-position model. The record is from RNAcentral.
GACGAACGCUGGCGGCGUGCUUAACACAUGCAAGUCGAACGAUGACGCCCGAGCUUGCUCGGUCUGAUUAGUGGCGAACGGGUGAGUAACACGUGAGCAACCUGCCCUUCACUCUGGGUUAACCUCGGGAAAUCGUGGCUAAUACCGGAUCUGAGCUCCUGUCGCAUGGCGGGUUUUGGAAAGUUUUUCGGUGAAGGAUGGGCUCCCGGCCUAUCAGUUUGUUGGUGGGGUAGUGGCUCACCAAGGCGAUGACGGGUAGCCGGCCUGAGAGGGCGACCGGCCACACUGUGACUGAGACACGGCCAAGACGCCUACGGGAGGCAGCAGUGGGGAAUAUUGCACAAUGGGCGACAGCCUGAUGCAGCGACGCCGCGUGAGGGAUGACGGCCUUCGGGUUGUAAACCUCUUUCAGCAGGGAAGAAGCGAAAGUGACGGUACCUGCAGAAGAAGCGCCGGCUAACUACGUG